This 446-nucleotide long non-coding RNA is filed under the name Citrus sinensis (sweet orange). RNAcentral describes it as "long non-coding RNA (CSIN_LNC003129)". Lineage: Eukaryota; Viridiplantae; Streptophyta; Magnoliopsida; Sapindales; Rutaceae. The record is from RNAcentral.
CUUUUGGCUUUCAACUCAACAUGGCCGCCACCAUUUCAUCUCUUUUUCAUCUCCCAAAUUCAUCAAUUCACAGCCACCACCAUUUCCUCUCCUUUUCAUCUCCCAAACUCACCAAUUUAAAUCAUCAUCAUCAAAUUGCCAUCAAUCAUCAUCAUCAUCAAUCAUCAUCAAAGGCGUGAAUUCUCAGUAGCUCCUAAACUCAUUCACGAUUACGGCUGGCGGCAGAAUAUCACACACACGAAGUGACCAAUUGAGAUUCACGGAAGUAGACGAAGCAAUGACCAACUGUACAAAUUUACUGGAUUUUCAUUCCUUGUCGCCAUUUGUGUUCUAUUUUGCUAUUAGUUUAGCUUUUGUUUGAUGAUGACAAGUUGACAAUCACAAAAUUUGGGUCUUGUUUUGUACUUUUGCUUCAUUGUUUUGUUAUAUUCUUUAAUCAAUUUCUU